UACGUUCCCGGGUCUUGUACACACCGCCCGUCACACCAUGGGAGUGGGUUUUACCAGAAGUAGGUAGCCUAACCGUAAGGAGGGCGCUUACCACGGUAGGAUUCGUGACUGGGGUG
Molecule: ribosomal RNA, 116 nt
Filed under: uncultured bacterium
Lineage: Bacteria
Description: partial 16S ribosomal RNA
Rfam family: Bacterial small subunit ribosomal RNA
Source: RNAcentral